UCCAGACUCCUACGGGAGGCAGCAGUGGGGGAUAUUGCACAAUGGGGGGAACCCUGAUGCAGCGACGCCGCGUGGGUGAAGAAGCGCCUCGGCGCGUAAAGCCCUGUCAGCAGGGAAGAAAAUGACGGUACCUGAAGAAGAAGCCCCGGCUAACUACGUGCCAGCAGCCGCGGUAAUACGUAUGGUGCAAGCGUUAUCCGGAUUUACUGGGUGUAAAGGGAGCGCAGGCGGCGCGUUAAGCCUGGUGUGAAAGCCCGCGGCCCAACCGCGGGACUGCAUUGGGAACUGGCGCGCUGGAGUGCCGGAGGGGUAGGCGGAAUUCCUGGUGUAGCGGUGAAAUGCGUAGAUAUCAGGAGGAACACCGGCGGCGAAGGCGGCCUGCUGGACCGUGACUGACGUUGAGGCUCGAGAGCGUGGGGAGCAAACAGGAUUAGAUACCCCUGUAGG
Molecule: ribosomal RNA, 447 nt
Filed under: uncultured bacterium
Lineage: Bacteria
Description: bacterial SSU rRNA
Rfam family: Bacterial small subunit ribosomal RNA
Source: RNAcentral